UACUAAAAAUAACAUGGGGUUUGCUUAUCACUUGUGUAAUAACCAUGUAUAGGGGGAAAUAUAUGGAAAGCAAGCAAAAACGAACAGAGUUUUGCAGUAGUAGUUCUGAGAUAUGUGAAAAGUGCGGGUGGAAACAACCAAAAUGGUUUUAUAAGGUUUUGGCAUUUGCCAGAAAUAGCUCAUUCUUUAUCAACCGGCAGAUUUUCUUUUUCAACCGGCUCAUUCUUCAGCAGGCACGCGGUCAGCCGAUCCCUUUCCUUUCCUUUGAGUUGUUGGCCAUAAAACGAAAGCAAGCGAUAUGAUGCUGUAACUUUAAGCAAGUACCAAAAUUUAAAACGAGUGAACCGAAGACCAAACUAAAGCCGUCCCAAAGUCAUCUCCCAAAGUAACCAAAUUCCAAUGUGUAGCUGCCUUACGUGUCUUGAGAUAGAAAAGAGAAGCGACGCGGUUUGCAAUUUCUCAAGAGCAACAACGAACAUGGAUUUUGCUACGAUAAUAUCAUUUUUUUAUGAAUUGUGAUGUGUCAUUAUUACUUAUUACACUUGGCAACUGUAAAAUCCAUAUUUUCAUUAGCACGAUCCGAUGAUGCAGAAAACAUAUACGAUGAACGACAUUUUGGAGUGAAACGAUAUUAUUGGUAUAUGAAACAGUAUUAAGAACAAUAUUGAA
Morus notabilis is the source of this 669-nucleotide long non-coding RNA. RefSeq lists it as uncharacterized. NCBI's taxonomy places the organism in Eukaryota, Viridiplantae, Streptophyta, Magnoliopsida, Rosales, Moraceae. The transcript has 3 exons. The record is from RefSeq and is a predicted model, not a curated record.